RNAcentral lists this ribosomal RNA (497 nucleotides) under uncultured bacterium. RNAcentral's name for it is "partial 16S ribosomal RNA". It matches the Rfam family "Bacterial small subunit ribosomal RNA", at positions 28 to 507 of the family's 1533-position model. The record is from RNAcentral.
GACGAACGCUGGCGGCGUGCCUAAUACAUGCAAGUAGAACGCUGAAGAGAGGAGCUUGCUCUUCUUGGAUGAGUUGCGAACGGGUGAGUAACGCGUAGGUAACCUGCCUUGUAGCGGGGGAUAACUAUUGGAAACGAUAGCUAAUACCGCAUAACAAUGGAUGACACAUGUCAUUUAUUUGAAAGGGGCAAUUGUUCCACUACAAGAUGGACCUGCGUUGUAUUAGCUAGUAGGUGAGGUAAUGGCUCACCUAGGCGACGAUACAUAGCCGACCUGAGAGGGUGAUCGGCCACACUGGGACUGAGACACGGCCCAGACUCCUACGGGAGGCAGCAGUAGGGAAUCUUCGGCAAUGGGGGCAACCCUGACCGAGCAACGCCGCGUGAGUGAAGAAGGUUUUCGGAUCGUAAAGUUCUGUUGUAAGUCAAGAACGGGUGUGAGAGUGGAAAGUUCACACUGUGACGGUAGCUUACCAGAAAGGGACGGCUAACUACGUG